Molecule: transfer RNA, 71 nt
Filed under: Loxodonta africana (African savanna elephant)
Lineage: Eukaryota; Metazoa; Chordata; Mammalia; Proboscidea; Elephantidae
Rfam family: tRNA
About the family: Transfer RNA (tRNA) molecules are approximately 80 nucleotides in length.
Source: Rfam by way of RNAcentral
GUAGUGGUGGUUCAGUGGUAGAAUUCUUGCCUUCCAUGUGGGAGACCCAGGUUCGAUUCCCAGCCAAUGCA